This 301-nucleotide ribosomal RNA is filed under the name uncultured bacterium. RNAcentral describes it as "partial 16S ribosomal RNA". It matches the Rfam family "Bacterial small subunit ribosomal RNA", at positions 509 to 809 of the family's 1533-position model. The record is from RNAcentral.
CAGUAGCCGCGGUAAUACAGAGGGUGCGAGCGUUAAUCGGAUUUACUGGGCGUAAAGCGUGCGUAGGCGGCUUUUUAAGUCGGAUGUGAAAUCCCUGAGCUUAACUUAGGAAUUGCAUUCGAUACUGGGAAGCUAGAGUAUGGGAGAGGAUGGUAGAAUUCCAGGUGUAGCGGUGAAAUGCGUAGAGAUCUGGAGGAAUACCGAUGGCGAAGGCAGCCAUCUGGCCUAAUACUGACGCUGAGGUGCGAAAGCGUGGGGAGCAAACAGGAUUAGAUACCCCUGUAGUCCCUGUCUCUUAUAA